GUCGGGAUUCCCGGCGCAGACCGGGAAUCCCCCUAGCAGACCGAAGCUCUAGACAGGACUCGGCAUGAGUGAGACUCGAACCAUCGCCCGUCUGUACUUCAAGGUGCCAGGGGCCGGCGACAAGUGCUCUGCGCCACCUGCCAGGCCGUGGAAUUAGUGCAAAUGUGUUUGUUUUCAUCUUAAACCAUUGUCAGUGACGUCAUUCUACGCGACUACCACAGGUGAAGGUGCUGCCCACCCAUGAUGCCAGCAAGGUGCGUGCAAGUGGAUCCGGCCUUAAAACCACUGGAGUGCCCAGCUCUCUGCCAGUGAAGUUCAACAUUGAUGGCAAAGAUGCAGGACCCAGACGGGAAGCCCAAGAAGCAAAUAUCUGUGACAACCAUGAUGGGACCUACCUGGUGUCUUAUGUGCCAGACAUGACUGACAGGUACACCACACUCAUUAAGUACGGAGGAGACGAGAUCCCUUAUUCACCCUACUGAAUCAGGGCUCUGCCCACCCGAGAUGCCAGCAAGUGCACUGUCACUGAAUGUUGCGCACAGCUGCUCUUUUCUGCUCCGCGCUGCACG
RNA transcript from Oreochromis niloticus (Nile tilapia), 569 nucleotides. It is a transcript of the gene named filamin-A-like, with no coding region annotated. The transcript has 4 exons. Lineage: Eukaryota; Metazoa; Chordata; Actinopteri; Cichliformes; Cichlidae. The record is from RefSeq and is a predicted model, not a curated record.